Molecule: ribosomal RNA, 500 nt
Filed under: uncultured Glomeromycotina
Lineage: Eukaryota; Fungi; Glomeromycota
Description: partial small subunit ribosomal RNA
Rfam family: Eukaryotic small subunit ribosomal RNA
Source: RNAcentral
CCAAUAGCGUAUAUUAAAGUUGUUGCAGUUAAAAAGCUCGUAGUUGAAUUUCGGGAUCAAGUCGUCGGUCGUGCCUCGGUACGCACUGGUGACAUUGGUUUCUCCCUUCUGAAGAACCUUGAUGUCAUUAAUUUGGUGUCUUGGGGAAUCAGGACUGCUACUUUGAAAAAAUUAGAGUGUUUAAAGCAGGCUCACGCUUGAAUACAUUAGCAUGGAAUAAUGAAAUAGGACGUUUGAUUCUAUUUUGUUGGUUUCUAGGAUCGACGUAAUGAUUAAUAGGGAUAGUUGGGGGCAUUAGUAUUCAAUUGUCAGAGGUGAAAUUCUUGGAUUUAUUGAAGACUAACUACUGCGAAAGCAUUUGCCAAGGAUGUUUUCAUUAAUCAAGAACGAAAGUUAGGGGAUCGAAGACGAUCAGAUACCGUCGUAGUCUUAACCAUAAACUAUGCCGACUAGGGAUCGGAUGAUGUUAAUUUUUUUAAUGACUCAUUCGGCGCCUUACG